RNAcentral lists this unclassified non-coding RNA (343 nucleotides) under soil metagenome. Its description in RNAcentral is "partial contains 5.8S ribosomal RNA, internal transcribed spacer 2, and large subunit ribosomal RNA". The stretch from base 1 to 120 matches the Rfam family "5.8S ribosomal RNA", at positions 35 to 154 of the family's 154-position model. The record is from RNAcentral.
GAUGAAGAACGCAGCGAAAUGCGAUAAGUAAUGUGAAUUGCAGAAUUCAGUGAAUCAUCGAAUCUUUGAACGCACAUUGCGCCCGCUAGUAUUCUGGCGUGCAUGCCUGUCCGAGCGUCAUUUCAACCCUCAAGCCCCCGGGCUUGGUGUUGGGGAUCGGCGAGCCUCCGCGCCCGCCGUCCCCUAAAUCUAGUGGCGGUCUCGCUAUAGCUUCCUCUGCGUAGUAGCACACCUCGCACUGGGAAACAGCGCGGCCACGCCGUUAAACCCCCAACUUCUGAACGUUUGACCUCGGAUCAGGUAGGAAUACCCGCUGAACUUAAGCAUAUCAAUAAGCGGAGGA